This 566-nucleotide ribosomal RNA is filed under the name uncultured archaeon. RNAcentral describes it as "bacterial SSU rRNA". It matches the Rfam family "Archaeal small subunit ribosomal RNA", at positions 313 to 879 of the family's 1478-position model. The record is from RNAcentral.
GCGAUUCGCCCUUCGGGGUGCAGCAGGCGCGAAAACUUUACAAUGCCGGCAACGGCGAUAAGGGAACCUCGAGUGCCAGGUUACAAAUCUGGCUGUCGUGAUGCCUAAAAAGCAUUGCAUAGCAAGGGCCGGGCAAGACCGGUGCCAGCCGCCGCGGUAACACCGGCGGCUCGAGUGGUAACCGUUAUUAUUGGGUCUAAAGGGUCUGUAGCCGGCCGGGUAAGUCUCUUGGGAAAUCUGGCAGCUUAACUGUCAGGCUUUCAGGAGAUACUGCCUGGCUCGAGGCCGGGAGAGGUGAGAGGUACUUCAGGGGUAGGGGUGAAAUCUUGUAAUCCCUGAAGGACCACCAGUGGCGAAGGCGUCUCACCAGAACGGACCUGACGGCAAGGGACGAAAGCUAGGGGCACGAACCGGAUUAGAUACCCGGGUAGUCCUAGCCGUAAACGAUACUCGCUAGGUGUCGGCCACGGUGCGACCGUGGUCGGUGCCGUAGGGAAGCCGUGAAGCGAGCCACCUGGGAAGUACGGCCGCAAGGCUGAAACUUAAAGGAAUUGGCGGGGGAGCAC